UUUAAUUGGAAUGAUUUAAAUACAAAUUUUGAAUUUUUAUGUUAGACAAACAAAUGAGUUAUUUUUCAUAUCCAAUUAGUUUGAUUUUUAAGGAGUUAAUUAAAUAAAUUAUUUGAGGAAUAAAUUACAUUUUUAUUUGGUUAUUCAAAAUUUUUCCAAAUGUAUAUAUAUAUAAAUAAAAUUAUAUAUUAGAAAAUUAUGAUAGAAAUUG
RNAcentral lists this long non-coding RNA (211 nucleotides) under Ricinus communis (castor bean). RNAcentral describes it as "long non-coding RNA (RCOM_LNC003031)". The record is from RNAcentral. Lineage: Eukaryota; Viridiplantae; Streptophyta; Magnoliopsida; Malpighiales; Euphorbiaceae.